This 750-nucleotide ribosomal RNA is filed under the name uncultured bacterium. RNAcentral's name for it is "bacterial SSU rRNA". It matches the Rfam family "Bacterial small subunit ribosomal RNA", at positions 41 to 755 of the family's 1533-position model. The record is from RNAcentral.
GGGGGGCUAAACUGCAAGUCGAGCGAGCUUGCCCUAUGAUUUUAGUGCUUGCACUAAAUGAAACUAGAUACAAGCGAGCGGCGGACGGGUGAGUAACACGUGGGUAACCUGCCCAAGAGACUGGGAUAACACCUGGAAACAGAUGCUAAUACCGGAUAACAACACUAGACGCAUGUCUAGAGUUUGAAAGAUGGUUCUGCUAUCACUCUUGGAUGGACCUGCGGUGCAUUAGCUAGUUGGUAAGGUAACGGCUUACCAAGGCAAUGAUGCAUAGCCGAGUUGAGAGACUGAUCGGCCACAUUGGGACUGAGACACGGCCCAAACUCCUACGGGAGGCAGCAGUAGGGAAUCUUCCACAAUGGACGAAAGUCUGAUGGAGCAACGCCGCGUGAGUGAAGAAGGGUUUCGGCUCGUAAAGCUCUGUUGGUAGUGAAGAAAGAUAGAGGUAGUAACUGGCCUUUAUUUGACGGUAAUUACUUAGAAAGUCACGGCUAACUACGUGCCAGCAGCCGCGAUAAUACGUAGGUGGCAAGCGUUGUCCGGAUUUAUUGGGCGUAAAGCGAGUGCAGGCGGUUCAAUAAGUCUGAUGUGAAAGCCUUCGGCUCAACCGGAGAAUUGCAUCAGAAACUGUUGAACUUGAGUGCAGAAGAGGAGAGUGGAACUCCAUGUGUAGCGGUGGAAUGCGUAGAUAUAUGGAAGAACACCAGUGGCGAAGGCGGCUCUCUGGUCUGCAACUGACGCUGAGGCUCG